Long non-coding RNA from Exaiptasia diaphana, 629 nucleotides. RefSeq lists it as uncharacterized. The transcript has 3 exons. The record is from RefSeq and is a predicted model, not a curated record. Lineage: Eukaryota; Metazoa; Cnidaria; Anthozoa; Actiniaria; Aiptasiidae.
ACUUUGGAAAAAUGCAAGGCAGGAGAGGGUUCACUUUCAAACAUCAACCAAGUAGCUCAGGAGCUUUWCGAAGACAAYGAAUCUUGUGAAGAAAAGAUAGGGCUUGCGCCCUUCUCUGACGAGAAACUCCAAGCUAUGAUUGACGAAAAUGCAAAAAACAAGAAUUUCAGCAACAUCUGUCAGGCAAACGAUAAAAUCAAAGAAAAAACAGCCUGUACUAWGUACUGUCAAGGAAAGGAAGCGGACGAGGUGGCGGAAUUAGUGGAUGUACCAGUUGAAGCAGCAAAGAUUUUUAUCAAACGCUGUAAAUGUGAAAUAACAGAKGAGAUGAAAAUUGCAAUCUGUGCAGUGAAAGACAUCAUUACCAUCAAAUCACUUUAUCCCAGACUGACAGACGAGCAGAUUCAAGGUGYACUUGCCAAGUGUUGAUGAUGUCAKUGAAGGAACYGAAAACAAAAGCCAUUAGCUUACAGGACUCAUUACCUCAUGGAAAAACAAACCAAGCACAUCAAAUCAAUGCCUAUUUCUACUCAUUGGAAAUAUCUUCCCCAGUGCAAAUGCAUGCAUUCAUGACAAAAAAAAACAAUAAUACAAAAAACCUGAAUAAAAACUUGGAUUGACUUUGAAAA